Molecule: non-coding RNA, 96 nt
Filed under: Mus musculus (house mouse)
Lineage: Eukaryota; Metazoa; Chordata; Mammalia; Rodentia; Muridae
Description: Eukaryotic large subunit ribosomal RNA
Rfam family: Eukaryotic large subunit ribosomal RNA
Source: Rfam by way of RNAcentral
UAAGGUAAGCUCAGGGAAGACAGAAACCUCCAAUAGAGCAGAAAAAAAACCUUACUUGAUCUUGAUUUUCAGCAUGAAUACAGACUGUGAAAGAAG